UACAGUGUAGCUGGGCUGCAGUGCAUGGUGGCGGGGCUGUGCUUAGGUACUAAUGGGCUAGGCGAACUGCUGCACCAGGCUGCGGUUGCUGCACAGGCUGUGGCAGGAGCGUGCUGGUGACUGGGCUCCAGUAGGCGCUAACAGAAUGGAUGGAUGGGCUCCAGGGUGCAUGCUGGGAGCGGAGCAUGUCUUACUAAAGGAUCCUGUAGAUGUUGCUUCUCAUGGUAGCGGGUGAUAUGUAGCAUCUGCUGAUUCCCUGCACUCCUUUCUGCAGAGGCUCGGAGCUUAGACUGGCGGAGAACUGACCUAACGCAUGGCAGCAAGGACAAGCUUAGACCUGGG
Long non-coding RNA from Dromaius novaehollandiae (emu), 342 nucleotides. RefSeq lists it as uncharacterized. The record is from RefSeq and is a predicted model, not a curated record. NCBI's taxonomy places the organism in Eukaryota, Metazoa, Chordata, Aves, Casuariiformes, Dromaiidae. The transcript is spliced from 2 exons.